Molecule: ribosomal RNA, 403 nt
Filed under: Fusobacteriota bacterium
Lineage: Bacteria; Fusobacteriati; Fusobacteriota
Description: Fusobacteria bacterium partial 16S ribosomal RNA
Rfam family: Bacterial small subunit ribosomal RNA
Source: RNAcentral
UGGGGAAUUUUGCACAAUGGAGGAAACUCUGAUGCAGCGACGCCGCGUGAGUGAUGAAGAUCUUCGGAUUGUAAAACUCUGUCCUUAGUGAAGAUAAUGACAGUAACUAAGAAGCAAGCCCUGGCUAAAUACGUGCCAGCAGCCGCGGUAAUACGUAUGGGGCAAGCGUUGUCCGGAAUUAUUGGGCGUAAAGGGUACGUAGGCGGUUUAAUAAGUCCUAAUUAAAAGGCUAUGGCUCAACCAUAGUAUGGUUAGGAAACUGUUGAACUUGAGUAGAUGAGGGGAAAGUGGAAUUCCAUGUGUAGCGGUGAAAUGCGUAGAUAUAUGAAGGAACACCAAUGGCGAAGGCAACUUUCUGGAAUCAAACUGACGCUGAGGUACGAAGGCGUGGGGAGCAAACAGG